RNAcentral lists this small RNA (19 nucleotides) under Arabidopsis thaliana (thale cress). RNAcentral's name for it is "ATSL116790". The record is from RNAcentral. Lineage: Eukaryota; Viridiplantae; Streptophyta; Magnoliopsida; Brassicales; Brassicaceae.
UAGCCUUCCUCUUAGUUCU